This is a long non-coding RNA of Amphiprion ocellaris (clown anemonefish), 954 nucleotides long. RefSeq lists it as uncharacterized. The transcript is spliced from 4 exons. NCBI's taxonomy places the organism in Eukaryota, Metazoa, Chordata, Actinopteri, Pomacentridae. The record is from RefSeq and is a predicted model, not a curated record.
AAUAUAGAAGACAGCGCGCUAGCGGAUCUAGUCUAUGUAUAUCUAUGGUCAGGCACGUCUGGUAGCAUCUCUGGCUGCUGUUGAUCUUGUUUUUGGAGUAAAACACGGUGGAAGCUGAAUUAGUGAGGAUGACUCCUGCUCCUGUCAUCUCUAAGCUCCUCACACAUCUUUACCUGCACAUGAGGAAAAUCACUCCUGUAGAAUGCAGUGGUUCAUCAGAACCUCUGGGGAUGUCCUGUGGAUUCUGUGGAUCCUGUGGGUUGCAGGGUGGGUCCUACCUAGACCAGGCUGAUCCUGGACCAUCCCACAGAUGCUCCAUCAGAUCUGGAUGUGGGGAGUGUGGAACCCAGAUGUUCAGAGGGAGAUGAUGCCACAUCUGGUCCAGCUGAUGGAAGGUCUUGAAGUUCUCUGACUGGCCUCGACUGAAGAUGGUCGUCUCACUGGAUUUAAGGUUCAGAUGCUCAGUAACAAACUCCACCAAUGAGCCAACAGGGAAGCUUUAGGUUUAUUAAAUGUUGCUAUGAAGGUAUCGCUGUUUUUCUUUGUGAAUGCAAUGUGCUCCAACUGAAAGUUGAAUUAGAACUUAGAAGUAAAUCCUUCCAUCUGAAAGGAUUUAGUUGCAUUAAUAACCUCAUAACAUUCUAAUUUUUAUUCCAGUCUUAGUUGGAAAUAGAAUCUCUGUAUUGAUUCAGGUAAAAACUGAACUUCACAGCAUGUUGGAGCAAAACAACCAGAUGAAAACUGUGAUGGUGUUGGAUUGUCAGACCGUAAUAUUGCAGCUCAAAGCAGCUUUUCUAUCUCAGUUCAUUCUGACAUUCAGCUAUGAAUCAACACAGCAGAUGGUGAUCCAUGCUGUGGAAGUCUCACAUCUCCUGAUUUAAUGGAGCUGCUUUGCACUUUUUACACUGUUUAUUCACCAACACUUUAUUUAAUAAAAGUCCCAUCUAGUUUUUA